Molecule: non-coding RNA, 46 nt
Organism: Daphnia magna
Lineage: Eukaryota; Metazoa; Arthropoda; Branchiopoda; Diplostraca; Daphniidae
Source: Rfam
CCAUCGGUCCUUUUCAGGGCCACCAAAUGUAUUAAGAAAUGGUGCU